Molecule: ribosomal RNA, 490 nt
Filed under: uncultured bacterium
Lineage: Bacteria
Description: partial 16S ribosomal RNA
Rfam family: Bacterial small subunit ribosomal RNA
Source: RNAcentral
AUUGAACGCUGGCGGCAGGCCUAACACAUGCAAGUCGAACGGUAACAGAAAGCAGCUUGCUGCUUUGCUGACGAGUGGCGGACGGGUGAGUAAUGUCUGGGAAACUGCCUGAUGGAGGGGGAUAACUACUGGAAACGGUAGCUAAUACCGCAUAACGUCGCAAGACCAAAGAGGGGGACCUUCGGGCCUCUUGCCAUCGGAUGUGCCCAGAUGGGAUUAGCUAGUAGGUGGGGUAACGGCUCACCUAGGCGACGAUCCCUAGCUGGUCUGAGAGGAUGACCAGCCACACUGGAACUGAGACACGGUCCAGACUCCUACGGGAGGCAGCAGUGGGGAAUAUUGCACAAUGGGCGCAAGCCUGAUUCAGCCAUGCCGCGUGUAUGAAGAAGGCCUUCGGGUUGUAAAGUACUUUCAGCGGGGAGGAAGGGAGUAAAGUUAAUACCUUUGCUCAUUGACGUUACCCGCAGAAGAAGCACCGGCUAACUCCGUG